This 416-nucleotide long non-coding RNA is filed under the name Hordeum vulgare. Its description in RNAcentral is "long non-coding RNA (HVUL_LNC005792)". The record is from RNAcentral. Lineage: Eukaryota; Viridiplantae; Streptophyta; Magnoliopsida; Poales; Poaceae.
AGAAAGCUACUUGCCUCGAUGCUCGCCGUAUGAUCGUAGGGAACCGACUGGACCAUCCACCCUACAUACAUAUACAUCAAAGGGAGAAACAGAUUACAGAUGCGUCGCAUAAACCCCAAGAAACCUCUCGGAACUGCAAUCCGCAAGAUAAAGUAGAGAAAUCUGACCUUCAAACAGGGAAAUGAAUAACAGAAAGAUGAAUAAUAAUCUCCCCAUGGCGACCACCAGUGCACGUGUACGUGUAUGUCCCUUCUUCUACUGAACUGGAGAGAUGUUUCAGUUGAUGGAGAUGGCGAGCUGAAUAUAUAUAGGCAAAGGGUAACUGAUUUGUUCUUGAGAAGAGAAGGUGGCGUGUUUGCUAGCUUCUCAGACCCUUGACUCAAGCGAAAGACAAGGCUGAAGCAGCAACAGUAGUG